UCUGGAACGUGUCCAACGAGGUGGUC
RNAcentral lists this non-coding RNA (26 nucleotides) under Homo sapiens (human). Lineage: Eukaryota; Metazoa; Chordata; Mammalia; Primates; Hominidae. The record is from RNAcentral.